GCGGUAAAAGCUCAAAUUUGAAAUCUGGUACUUUCAGUGCCCGAGUUGUAAUUUGUAGAAUUUGUCUUUGAUUAGGUCCUUGUCUAUGUUCCUUGGAACAGGACGUCAUAGAGGGUGAGAAUCCCGUUUGGCGAGGAUACCUUUUCUCUGUAAGACUUUUUCGAAGAGUCGAGUUGUUUGGGAAUGCAGCUCAAAGUGGGUGGUAAAUUCCAUCUAAAGCUAAAUAUUGGCGAGAGACCGAUAGCGAACAAGUACAGUGAUGGAAAGAUGAAAAGAACUUUGAAAAGAGAGUGAAAAAGUACGUGAAAUUGUUGAAAGGGAAGGGCAUUUGAUCAGACAUGGUGUUUUUUGCAUGCACUCGCCUCUCGUGGGCUUGGGCCUCUCAAAAAUUUCACUGGGCCAACAUCAAUUCUGGCAGCAGGAUAAAUCAUUAAGAAUGUAGCUACUUCGGUAGUGUUAUAGCUUUUUGGAAUACUGUUAGCCGGGAUUGAGGACUGCGCUUCGGCAAGGAUGUUGGCAUAAUGGUUAAAUGCCGCCCGUCUUGANCNACGGAAC
RNAcentral lists this ribosomal RNA (555 nucleotides) under Hanseniaspora uvarum. RNAcentral describes it as "LSU rRNA". It matches the Rfam family "Eukaryotic large subunit ribosomal RNA", at positions 98 to 667 of the family's 3401-position model. Lineage: Eukaryota; Fungi; Ascomycota; Saccharomycetes; Saccharomycodales; Saccharomycodaceae. The record is from RNAcentral.